This 758-nucleotide long non-coding RNA is filed under the name Setaria viridis. RNAcentral describes it as "long non-coding RNA (SVIR_LNC004226)". Lineage: Eukaryota; Viridiplantae; Streptophyta; Magnoliopsida; Poales; Poaceae. The record is from RNAcentral.
UACAACCACGUAUUUCCGAUCGAAACAAGCAUACAAAACUCGCACGAAGACGAGUCCAGAGAUUACAACAAUCCAGAUAACAUAUUACAGGUCCCAAAUUAAUUUAUUACAAACUGAGUGUUCAAAUGCAUAAAGAUUGUUUAGAUCUCAAAGCAGCGAAAAAAGAAAAUGAUAGUUCUAACGACGAUACAUAAUACCAUGGUGAAGCCUCCCAUGAUAUCACUCACCACGAUCCUCGCCCACCGAGGUCGAGUCCCACGCAACCAUCCAUCCCGGAGGGAGUUGGCAUGGCCAAGUCACACUAGCAACCAUAUCCUCAACAUCAACAUUACCUGAAAAUAUAGCCUCAAGCAAGGUUGAGUAUACUAAAACUCCGCAAGACUUACCCGUCGAGUGGUAUCUAAUCCACCGACUCCUAGACAUGCAAGGUUUUCUGGCUGAGGGGUUUAUUUUUUCCAAAAGCUUCUAAAGUGGAUCCUUGCUUUCAAGUUUUAGCAUCAAGUUCUAGUUGGUUAACCAUUCUAGGUAAGCAACUAUUCUAAGCAAGCAUGGUAGAACAAGUAAUUAAAUCAAGCAUCAAUAUUAAGCAUCAUCUAUGUUCAUCUUCUUACUCAACGCAGCAUAGUGAUCAAGUAGUCCCAAACUAUGAGAAGCACACGAUUCGAAUUGAAUUUCUUAACCUUGCAAGGUGGACCUAAACACACGACAUAUGCAUACCCCCAUGGUUCACACAUGUCAGUCAUUUCCAUCGAUCCCCU